This 253-nucleotide ribosomal RNA is filed under the name uncultured bacterium. RNAcentral describes it as "partial 16S ribosomal RNA". It matches the Rfam family "Bacterial small subunit ribosomal RNA", at positions 524 to 776 of the family's 1533-position model. The record is from RNAcentral.
UACGUAGGGUGCGAGCGUUAAUCGGAAUUACUGGGCGUAAAGCGUGCGCAGGCGGUUGUGCAAGACAGAGGUGAAAUCCCCGGGCUUAACCUGGGAACUGCCUUUGUGACUGCAUGGCUAGAGUGUGUCAGAGGGGGGUAGAAUUCCACGUGUAGCAGUGAAAUGCGUAGAGAUGUGGAGGAAUACCGAUGGCGAAGGCAGCCCCCUGGGAUAACACUGACGCUCAUGCACGAAAGCGUGGGGAGCAAACAGG